UACGUAGGGGGCAAGCGUUGUCCGGAAUCAUUGGGCGUAAAGAGCGUGUAGGCGGCCCGAUAAGUCCGCUGUGAAAGUCCGGGGCUCAACCCUGGGAUGCCGGUGGAUACUGCCGGGCUCGAGUCCGGAAGAGGCGAGUGGAAUUCCUGGUGUAGCGGUGAAAUGCGCAGAUAUCAGGAGGAACACCAAUGGCGAAGGCAGCUCGCUGGGACGUGACUGACGCUGAGACGCGAAAGCGUGGGGAGCAAACAGG
This 253-nucleotide ribosomal RNA is filed under the name uncultured bacterium. Its description in RNAcentral is "partial 16S ribosomal RNA". It matches the Rfam family "Bacterial small subunit ribosomal RNA", at positions 524 to 776 of the family's 1533-position model. The record is from RNAcentral.